This 1119-nucleotide long non-coding RNA is filed under the name Canis lupus familiaris (dog). RNAcentral's name for it is "lncRNA (ENSCAFG00040021690.1)". The record is from RNAcentral. Lineage: Eukaryota; Metazoa; Chordata; Mammalia; Carnivora; Canidae.
AUGGCCUCCCUCAAGACCUCCCUCAGGGCCUCCCUCAGGACCUCCCUCAGGGCCUCCCUCAGGGCCUCCCUCAGGACCUCCCUCAGGGCCUCCUUCAUGGCCUCCCUCAGGACCUCCCUCAAGACCUCCCUCAGGGCCUCCCUCAGGACCUCCCUCAAGACCUCCCUCAGGGCCUCCCUCAGGACCUCACUCAAGACCUCCCUCAGGGCCUCCCUCAGGACCUCCCUCAGGGCCUCCUUCAUGGCCUCCCUCAGGACCUCCCUCAAGACCUCCCUCAGGGCCUCCCUCAGGACCUCACUCAGGACCUCCCUCAGGACCUCCCUCAGGGCCUCCCUCAGGGCCUCCCUCAGGCCUCCCUCAGGACCUCCCUCAGGGCCUCCCUCAGGGCCUCCCUCAGGACCUCCCUCAGGGCCUCCCUCAGGGCCUCCCUCAGGGCCUCCUGCAGUACCUCCCUCAGGACCUCCCUCAGGACCUCCCUCAGGGCCUCCCUCAGGACCUCCCUCAAGAUCUCCCGCAGGGCCUCCCUCAGGGCCUCCCUCAAGACCUCCCUCAGGACCUCCCCUCAGGGCCUCCCUCAGGGCCUCCCUCAGGACCUCCCUCAGGGCCUCCCUCAGGACCUCCCUCAGGGCCUCCCUCAGGGCCUCCCUCAGGACCUCCCUCAGGACCUCCCUCAGACCUCCCUCAGGACCUCCCCCUCAGGGCCUCCCUCAGGGCCUCCCUCAGGGCCUCCCCGUCAGGGCCUCCCUCAGGACCUCCCUCACAUCCUGUCAUGUGUCCCUUGAAUCAGGCCAGGUAAGUCUCAGGAACUCUUUUUUUUUUUUCUUUAGAUUUUAUUUGCGAGAGAGAGUGAUGGGGGCAGGGGGUGAGGGAGCCGCAGGUCCCACUGAGCAGGGAGCCCGUGGGGGGCCCGAGCCCAGGCAGCACUUGAGCAACGAGGCGGCCGGGCGCCCCCAGGAGUCCCCGCAGCGGCCCAGUGCCCCAGAACCAGCUGGUUCCUUCUCUUUUGCUCUUGAAGAUGCGGGACGCCCUGCCCUUUGGAGAUUUAGGGUAAGACUGGCUCAGGCCCCGCUGCACGGCCUUCCCGCGGGGGCCUUGUCCCUGUCGUCCGCGGGCCGGUGA